UCUCCGUAGGUGAACCUGCGGAGGGAUCAUUACAGAGUUCAUGCCCUACCGGGUAGAUCUCCCACCCUAUGUUAUUAUUACUUUGUUGCUUUGGCGGGCCGUUAGGCUCCGGCCCGACUACCGGCCCCGGCUGGUAAGCGCCCGCCAGAGGACCCAAAACCCUGAAUAUUAGUGUCGUCUGAGUACUAUAUAAUAGUUAAGACUUUCAACAACGGAUCUCUUGGUUCUG
RNAcentral lists this unclassified non-coding RNA (229 nucleotides) under plant metagenome. RNAcentral describes it as "partial contains small subunit ribosomal RNA, internal transcribed spacer 1, and 5.8S ribosomal RNA". The record is from RNAcentral.